Molecule: ribosomal RNA, 253 nt
Filed under: uncultured bacterium
Lineage: Bacteria
Description: partial 16S ribosomal RNA
Rfam family: Bacterial small subunit ribosomal RNA
Source: RNAcentral
UACGUAGGGGGCAAGCGUUGUCCGGAUUUAUUGGGCGUAAAGAGCGUGUAGGCGGCUUGGAAGGUCAGCUGUGAAAACUCGAGGCUCAACCUCGAGACGUCGGUUGAAACCACCUGGCUAGAGUCCGGAAGAGGAGAGUGGAAUUCCUGGUGUAGCGGUGAAAUGCGCAGAUAUCAGGAAGAACACCUAUGGCGAAGGCAGCUCUCUGGGACGGUACUGACGCUGAGACGCGAAAGCGUGGGGAGCGAACAGG